UACAGGGAUUCUCUGCAGAUGGCUUCAGAAUGGCACCCUGUUCCACAAGCUGUCCUUUGUUGCCAUGGUUACUUGCUAAGAUAAGUCUGGCGGGGCCCUGUUUCAGAUUCAGUUCACCCAGAAUAACACCUGUUGACAAACCAAACAGCUAGAAAGGUACGACACUGAAUGGAACUGUUGAUUUCUGGGGUUUUAUGCAUGGUCUCGGCUGAUCUUAUUAGAGCUGCAGAAAGAACAUAGAGGGUAGGACUGCAAGCUAGUCGGCUGGUGGCUGCAUCACCAACAAAGUUUCACAGAGGGAAAGUCCUUACAUGGGUGGUCUUUCGGGGGGCAUGACAGUGGCAGAGUAGCAAGUGGCAAGUGCUUAUAUAUACAACAAGGGCAACAAAUUCAGUAGCCUCCAGUUAUUUCAGGACUCCCACUCCCAUCAGCCCCAGCCAGCAUAGCCAACGGGCAGGGAUGAUGGGACUUGUAGUCCAAUAACCUUUGGAAGGUACCACAUUGGUUACCCAGGAUGAUGAUGGAGGGUGAUCUUCACUCAAAGGUUCCAGGGUAGGCUAUGGCAGUUAAACAAAAUAUUCAAAGCUGUUUAAAAUAAAUCACAACCAUAGAAAGCGAGUCUUAAAAAUGUAAAUUUCAGAUGUCAACAAUAAGCAAGCAGGAUUGGGGUGGAUACGGAAAUCUGGCCUACAAACCCAAGAAGUUUCAUUCUUGCAACAGACCUCCUCUGCACGUUUACCAUGCAAGUCUGGAAAAGGAACCGUCAACGAGAAGUUCAGUGCAGAUUCAUGCAAAAAACAGAAAUGUGGAAAAUGAUGGUUCACGCAACCUUCAUGGGUACAGCCCCUGGUCUAAAGGAAGCAAACUGAGCUCCAGGCCUGAUACAGCUUCAGCCAAAUCCUUGUCUGUUAAACACAGAGGAUGUGCAAAGCUUGCUGCCAGCUCUUCUGCUGCUAGUCACAUUCUUUGACCUCGCUUGCCCUUCCUCAUUUCAGAGGACGUGAUCUCAAUUAAGGUUCUCUGGUAUGCAUAUUCAAAUCACAGAAACCACAUUUCAGGGCAAUGUCUUGGUGAGGAGGCUCAGGAUUUUAGAUCCAGAAUUUAAAUGCAUGUUUUAUCCCUACCCACCCACUCAACAUUCCUGCUUAGCACUCAGAGUGGGCCAGUCUAGACUGGGAGCCAUGUGCUCAGAUGUGGCAAGCUGCACAGUUAAAGAGGGCUGAAGAUUCCCUUACUUGACUUUGUCCUUAGGGCUUUGAAAAUGCUAUGAUAACCCUUUCUCAUAGAUUAUUGUAAUGCACUCUUAUGUGGGGCUGCCCUUGAAGAUGGUUUGGAAACUGCAACUGGUACAGAAGGCUGCAGGUAGAUCACAUCACAUGUAUUCUUUGCCAGUUACAUCAUCUGCCUACUUGUUUCUGGGCUCAAUUCUAAGGUUUUGGGUCUGGCCUUUAAAGUUGUAAAUCAGGGACAGAUGGAUGCCCUGAUUUGUUUGUGGAUUACUACUCAUGGUUUGUGAGAUACAAACCAUGAGUGCUGGUUGGCACAUCAUGCUCAACCAAGUCUUGGGAUUUCAGUCUCCUGGCUCAACCACAUUCACAGUAAACCAUGGUUUAUUGGCAUCACUAGCUGUGAUUUACUAUGUGAUGUGUGAACAAGCCCAUAGUCGGGGGGUAACCAUACAUCUUCCAUAAAGGGUACAUCCACAUUGGAGCCCUUGAAUGAAGCACAACUUUCCAGAAAUAGGGCUGCUUCAGGCAUCCUUUUUAUUGCGCAUUCAUGAUUAUUCAUACUUGUGACGCUACCAUAUCAGUCGUACUUAAACCUGUUUUCAAUACUAUUUGCCCAUGCAAAAGUUUUGGGGCAGACACACCACAUCAUAUCCAAUCAGUGCAUAUCCUGUAACUUCCUUCUGAAAUCCCGUAACUUUUUAUAGCUUUUUUUCUGGGGGGACGCAGGGGUACACAUACCCCUGAACAUUUUGUCAAUCUAAAUUUGGCCUCAUUGAGGGGCAGCAUUUUAAUAUGAGUAUGAAAAUGAGAGUACCCCUAAACAUUUUUAAAGAAAAAAACACACUGGCUUUUUAUAACACAGACAUUCCAGUUGUCUCCUCACAAGUAAGUUCCAUUCAGCAGAGAUCCUUUUUUAAUGCUAACUGAAAUUCCUGUUCAAAGUUUUAGUGGAUUUUAUUUCUUCCUGUUGACCCUAGUGGGGCAAUUAGUAAUGAAUAUGAAUAGCCGCUCUAAAAUUACCCCAAUGCCAGUUUUCUUUGUAUUGGGAGGCAGCUUUAACUGCAGAUUUCCUCUUAUUUAUUUCCCCCCCUUUUUCCCCCUUUUAAUGAUACAACAGCUCUGAUGACUAACUUUUGCAAGAUUGUAUCCUAAUUUGCUGCUCCGUUCAGUUCUGGGGAACUGAACCUAGAAGAUGGGGCUAUAUAAGAGGACUGUGAUGAGGGCAGACAGAUUCACACUUCUUCCAUCCUCCUUCCCCUGACUAAGUCAGUAUCACAUGGAGAGACCCAGAGCAGCAGGAAAUGGCUCAUCUUCAGUUAACAGUAACUCAAGAGGGAUUUGGAAGGUAAUGAUUCCUCUGCUCCAUACUAGUAGCCUAGUGGCGAAUUCUGAAGUGCAAGGUCCCUUCGUGAUAGCUACAGCCAUGCUGCUUAUCCUUUUAGAUUUGUCAGUGCCUUUGACAUGGUCGAUCAUGAUCUUCUGGACCACCGCCUCACAGACGUGGGGAUACAGGGCAUAGCCCGUAACUGGCUGUGCUCUUUUAUCUCUGGUCGGGGACAGAGGGUGGCACUAGGGAGGGAAAUGUCGUCGCGCCAUUCCUUGGUGUGUGGAGUGCCGCAGGGAGCAAUUCUCUCCCCGAUGCUUUUUAACAUCUUUAUGCGCCCCUUUGCCCAGAUUAUCCGGAGCUUUGGGCUGGGCUGUCACCAAUAUGCUGAUGACACUCAGCUCUAUCUGCUGAUGGAUGGCCACACCGACUCGGCCCCGAACACACUGACCAGAUGCUUGGAAGCUGUGGCUAGAUGGUUUCGUGGGAGCCGAUUGAAACUAAAUCCUUCAAAGACAGAGGUCCUAUGGCUGGGUCGGGAUGGCAUGGGGAUGAGGGACCAACUCCCUUCUCUUGCGGGGCCCAAUUAGUGCCAUUGCCUUCCGUUAAGAGUUUGGGUGUAAUCCUUGACGCCUCCCUUUCCAUGGAGGCGCAAGUUACAGCAACAGCCAAGGCGACAUUUUUCCACCUUCGCCGCAUCAAGCAGUUGGUCCCUUACCUUUCCCGCCCCGACCUGGCCACAGUGAUCCAUGCGGUGGUCAUCUCCAGGCUUGACUACUGUAAUUCGCUCUACGUGUGGCUGCCCUUGAAGCUGUCCCAGAAACUCCAGCGGGUGCAGAAUGCUGCAGCGAGGCUCCUCACGGGGUCUCUGCCAUGGGAGCAUAUUCACCCAGUGCUUUUCAAACUGCACUGGCUCCCGGUAGAGUACAGGGUCAGAUUUAAGGUGCUGCUUUUGACCUUUAAAGCCCUUCACUGCCUUGGACCCUUGGACCUACGAGACCGCCUCUCCCGGUAUGCCCCACGGAGAGCCUCAAGGUCCAUAAAUAGCAACACCCUAGUGGUCCCGGGCCCUAAGGAAGUUAGAUUGGCUUCAACCAGACCAGGGCCUUUUCAACUCUGGCUCCGGCCUGGUGGAACGCUCUGCCUCAUGAGACCAGGGCCCUGCAGGAUCCGAUUUCUUUCCGCAGGGCCUGUAAGACAGAGUUGUUCCGCCUGGCCUUUGGCUUGGAGCCAAUUUGAUUCCCUCCCUCUCUUUCUUUCUUUCCUUCUCCUCCUGCAUUGAGGCUACAUUUUAUUUUAAUGUUGUAAUAUUUUAAUGUUGUAUUUUAAUUUUGUUUUUAAGUUGUAAUCAUUCAGCUUGCUUUUAUUAUUGCUUGUAAGCCGCUCUGAGCCCGGCCUUGGCUGGGGAGGGUGGGGUAUAAAUAAAUUAUUAUUAUUAUUAUUAUUAUUAUUAUUAUUAUUAUUAUUAUUGGAUUGUACAACAGCCAACAAUUGUGCAAUAUUAUUAUAAUUUUACAAUAAUAAUAAUAAUUAGGGAUGCACUUCAACGAUUGAUGCAGAUCUCCAUGUGUUGUCUUUCAGCUAGGUGUACUAUUUUCUGUGCACGAUACAUGGGGAAAUGAAUUGGAGUGCUCAGGUGUCCUCUUUUGAAGUGACUGAAGUUAUGUUUUCCACGAAGUUCCAUUACACAUAACAGAACUUGCACACCAUUCCCCUGAAAACUGAAGCACCUCGUGCGCCUAAAUACUUAGCUUUGGAGCAUACGCUGCCUAAAACACUCUCCUUUUAUCCUAAUUGCGAGGCUCUAGGGUGCUGGGAGACAGUGCCUCUGCAGGGACCUUGCUGCAGAAACAGUAAUGGAACUCCAGACCACAACACCACUUGUUCCAGGCUCUCUGCCACUUAGCUUUCGCUACACAAGAGCAGUGGCUCAGGAGUAGAACAUCUGCUUUGCAUGCAGACGGUCCCAGGUUCAAUCCUUGAGUAGGGCUGGGAGAAACUCCUGUCCGAAACCCUGGAGAGUUCUGCCAGUCACCAUAGACAAUACUGAGCUGGACUGGCCAAUGCUAUGAUUCUGUAUAAGGCAACUUCCUGCGUUCCUAUGCUGCCAGGAUACAAAGGACAAGGCAGUGCCUUCCCUUCCAUUCAAAACAGGGCUGGGCAGUAGCUGCUGCCACUUAGUGUCUACAGUACUGGGCUAGGUGUGCCACUGGCUUGAUUUGGUAUAAGGCAGCCUCCUAGAUUCCUUCUCAGAAGCACAGAACAUCCAUAGGGCCAGCCAAGACAUUAUUGGGUAUAGAGCAGAAUUCUGAAUUUCCCCCCUUUUGCACUAAUGAAUAUGAGGGGCAAUCUACCUGGAAGUUCUCAUGCAGCUCCUUUGGCAUAGGGCUGGAACUGAGCAAGAGCCUAGCAUGAGACACCAACCAGCUUAAGGUUCUCUUGCACAACCAUUAUUGAAAUGAACAAGGUGAUUCUAAAGCAGUCCUGGUGAGCAUGCUCCUGAGUAGCCCUCUUUAUGGGUUUGCUGGAAGCAUGGGCGUGGCAGGGGGGCAGCUGCCCCCCCAUUAAGUAUUGUGAUAGGAAUUUUAUGGUCUUAGAUAUAUGGUAAUGUUCAUAAGUGUACGAACCAAGCACGUACACAGAUCAGCACAGGAAGACCAACCUGGAACCAUUUUGAUUCCUAAACUGAGCCAAUGUUUUCUCUGCAAGGUCAAAGUGGGAAACCUCCCAUUGUAUCUUUCCUCACAAAUCCUGUCUUAAGGGCACAUUUAAGAUAUGAAUAGGGUGUGAGCCUGUGACAUGGCCCAGGAACUAAGUAUUUAUCACUACAAAAGAAUGGCCAGGCUCCCCAGGCAAUCCAAUCAAGUAACCUGCCAGACAGGAGAUAAACAACGACAGAAGAAAAACAACAUUCAAAUUUCUGUUUAGACCGCCUUUUCUGUGAUGUAUGUAUGAUGUUUCUGGGGGUGGUCUUGAUCUACAGGGUGGCAAUUUCAAAAGUAUUUAUAAUUCCUUGCACGCCAUUUUUCUGGGUUCCUCCUCCUCUCCUGCGGGUGAGGGGAGCACCCUGUUGCAACAGAUCAAUAAAGAUCAAGCUUCCUAGCUGCUUUGCUUCUCAAUAUUCUCUGGUUGGCCUCUGUUAUUCUCUCCUACCAAUAGGGAACCUAUGUAAGGACUCUAUAUGGGCUCUUGGAUACCCCAUAAGGGAAAAAGGCAAUUAUUGUUUACAACAGUAAAACAGUAGGAAUAUGUAACUAACUGACCAAUCACAUCAGUUCUGCCCCCCCCCCAAUCCUGGCUACACCCAUGGCUGGAGGGCAUCUGAUUUGCCACUAUGGGAAACAGGAGUAGUUGAGAGGCCCUGUUUCAGCAAGGCUCUUAUAUUACCACCUCAAAAUCUCCUAUGCCUCCCUUGGCCCUUUUAGGUCAGAGAAACACACAAGCUUGUUUAUGGUGCCUCUGUAAAGCCAGCCUCCUCUGGUGGUGUACUUGGAGGCAAUUUAAUGUUUCAUUGAUUUCCUUUCAUAAGCAGCUCGUAUUCUUCUGGGGGCAGGGACAGCAAUGAAACCUAGAGUCUUUAAGUUCCUGACCGGUUGCCCAAUGACAGAGUAACAUGUCAGAAUGGGAGCUGGUUGUUUUUGGUUCGUCUUGCUUUGUGGACAUAGAAAGCACAGGCCCGGUUGUUACAGGCUAGUCCUGGUUACUGUGUGGGGCUUUCAGAUCAGAGCUGGCACAUCACCUACCCCCCUUUCCCACCACUCGCUCUGAGUAUUCAGACUAUUCUGCUGGUAUUAAUUUGGCUUUAACCCUGGGCUCCCGCAGCCACAAGAGAGGCUAAAAAGGAAGCUACUGCAAAGAACUGGGCAUGUCAAUCUAGAUGGAGGAGUGGAAAUUGUGUGGAGAGAGUAUGGAAAAUGGCCAACUAUAGAUUAGCAGGAUUGCUCCUCUGUGGCAUUGCAUUUGGGUUUGUCUCUUGUCCUCUUCUGCGUUUUUCUGCAAUUCUCGCCCACUCCCUGAACUGGUGCAUAUCUGCACUUCUUCCUCUUGGGACUGCAAGCCCACACAUUAAUUUCCCUAAAACAACACAGAUUUUGUGCCAUUGCAGCGAGACAUAAUAUUGCUGUGGGUAUGCCAACAAAGGGGGCACAUUCCAACCAAAGCUAAGCCCUUGAAAGGGAGAAAGUUAAGCAUGUGCUUGUUAUCUAUUCAGUUUUAGUAUUCAUUUUCCCAACUCUGCAAUUUUAAAGGCAUGGCUCCUCCUGAAGCCACCAGGACCUAAAGCUCACCUAAUCCAUGUUUACAUUUAAGUCAAUCCCAUUGUAUUCAAGGUCUUACUCUAAGGAAAAGGAGUUUGUACACGAUUGCAGCCUCAAAACCGAUUAACUACAGAUCUUCCAAGACUGGAGUUUUUACGCAGGUGUAACUCUGCAACAUGCCAUUGUUAUAAUAGCACAUUAAGUGGUGGGUUUAUACUGGACAAUCCACACACCAUUCUGCUUGAUUAGCUGUUCUGCAAUGCUUACUCAGAGCUACUGCAUUAUUACUGUACUAUAUACUAUAGUACUCUUGUACUAUAGCACAACGGAAGAGGGCAAAAGUCACCGCAUUUGCUAAAUUGUACAGUGGUACCUCGGGUUAAGUACUUAAUUUGUUCUGAAGGUCCGUUCUUAAUCUGAAACUGUUCUUAACCUGAAGCACCACUUUAGCUAAUGGGGCCUCCUGCUGCCACCGCGCCGCCAGAGCCCGAUUUCUGUUCUUAUCCUGAAGCAAAGUUCUUAACCUGAAGCACUAUUUCUGGCUUAGUGGAGUGUGUAACCUGAAGCGUAUGUAACCUGAAGCGUAUGUAACCCGAGGUACCACUGUAAUGCUUAAUGGCUAAAACAAUAUAUAUUUAUAAAUCAACUGGAUUAGGAUAAAAGAAUCAACUGAAGUAGGUCCAGACCUUAAAAGAUUGCUUCUCUCAUUUGGUAGCAUCCCUUUCACAUGUGUCAGAGGACAAGGCUAGUCACUCUUGAGUCCUCCCUUAAAAAGCAGCUAGCACCAUCCCAUUUCCAUGACUCACAGCAUGCAUUCACUAUUUCCCCAAUGAAUCUUUCCUCUUGUGGGUUUCACUUCUGCAUUUUAUUUUUUGUCUUCAGAAUUUGUACAUGUCAAGAUAUUUUCCAAGAAGGGGCUGUUGCAGCAACUGGAGUGUAAGCGUAGGAGUAAAGCACACUAAGGAGGAAAACACUUCUGAUUGUUGGAAGUGCAGCAGCAGAGAUUGUUCAGUUUGUAACUUAAGGGUUAGUUCUGUUAGUGUUAAAGUCAACUAGCCAAGGUGAAGGUGUUGCUUAGCAACUAGGCAGAGUGGCAUGAUCUUCACUGAGGUAGUAUGUAUUCUGAUUGGCCAUGUAGUUCUAAGGGCAUUUUCCUCUGUACGUCUCCUGCUAUGUACAAGGCCUAAACUAAGCAAGACAAAGUACAGUCAUACCUUGGGUUACAGAUGCUUCAGGUUGCGCACCGCGCUGAACCUGGAAGUACCAGAACGGGUUACUUCCGGGUUUCGGCGCAUGCGCAGAAACGCCAAAUUGUGACCCGCGCGUGCGCCGAUGUGGCACUGCGGGUUGCGAUCGUGCCUCCUGCAUGGAUCAUGUUUGCAACCCGAGCGUCGCUGUAUCUCUCUUCCUUUCUCCUCAAAUUAUACACUAGUUUUGUCCAGUUUGCCCUGCAAAGUGUUAUCAGGACUUUUAUCACCAGACUCCAUUUUUGUUAUUUAAAUGGCUUUGCUAACACUGGUGACUCAAGCAGUGUUCCAGGACCCUGUCAUAAAACCAUAGGAGAGAGGCUUUGUCAAGCCCUAAACCGGGUGAGUGGGAGAUUGCCAGCUCUUGAUGGGGUUACACUCCCUCUGAAGGAGCAGGUUUGUAGCUUGGCGGUACUCCUGGAUCCUUUGCUGUUGCUCGAGACUCAGGUGGCCUCAGUGGCCCCAGAGUGCCUUCCAUCAGCUUCGGCUGGUGGCCCAGCUAUGCCCCUAUCUGGACAGGGAUAGCUUAACUACUGUUGCCAAUGCUGUGGUAACCUCAGGGUUAGAUUACUGCAAUGUUUUAUGUGUAGGGCUGCCUCUGAGGAUGGUUCGGAAACUUCAGCUGGUGCAGAAUUCAGCAGCCAGGUUGCUCAGUGGAGCAAAACGGUUUGAGCAUAUUAUACCGAUUCUGGUCCGACUGCACUGGCUACCAAUUCGUUUCUGGGCCCAAUUCAGAGUGCUGGUUUUGACCUAUAAAGCCUUAAAUGGCUCAGGACCUCAAGAACUGCCUCUUUCCAUAUGAACCUACCCAGAGCCUGAGAUCAUCUUCUGAGGCCCUCCUUCAUGUGCCUCCUCCUCGAGAGGCAACAGGAGAAGGGCUUUCUCUGCAAUGACUCCCUGUCUGUGGUAUGCUCUCCCCAGGGAAGUUCACCUGGUGCCUUCAUUAUACACCUUUAGGUGCCAGGCAAAAAUAUUCCUUUUAAACUAGGCCUUUGGUUGAUUUGAUUGACAUCCUAUGCCCUUUUAAAAUGUGGGGUUUUUUUGGGGGGGGGUUAUUGGGCUGUUUUUAUUCUGAUUAUGUAUUUUGUGGUUUUAUAUUUUGAUUUUAUUUUGUGAACCACCCUGAGACCUCUGGGUAUAGGAUGGUAUAUAAAUUGAAUAAUAAAUAAAUCUGUCAACCUACAGACUGGAUGUGGCUGCCAGAUUUCAUCUAGUCCAUGAGGGCCCCUCUUGACCAUCAGCUGAGAGGAGCUAGGGCUUCAGUGUUGUGCAAAGUGCUUAAUUGCACCUCCUUUCUCUGCAAGAAGGUCUGCUACAAGAACACGGGAAAAUGUCUCAGCAGUCAUGUUCCUUGCAAAUAUGCAGUAAGUGUCUCACACAUUUUGCAACUGCAUAAUGCAAUUUUCUGAAUGUACCGUAUUUUUCGCUCUAUAAAACGCACCAGACCAUAAGACGCACCUAGUUUUCGGAGGAGGAAAACAAGAAAAAAAAUAUUCUGAAUCUCAGAAGCCAGAACAGCAAGAGGGAUCGCUGCGCAGUGAAAGCAGCAAUCCCUCUUGCUGUUCUGGCUUCUGGGAUAGCUGCGCAGCCUGCAUUCGCUCCAUAAGACGCACACACAUUUCCCCUUACUUUUUAGGAGGGAAAAGGUGAGUCUUAUAGAGCAAAAAAUACGGUAAUUGCAUUUUGAAAUUGAGGCUUCAAAUAGCUGUAAGUCAAGGUUUGCAGUUCAGCUGGGUAUAUCUAGACAACCAAAGGCUACUGGCGAGUUUCAUUUCAUUUCAUUUUUAUUAACCAUGGGGGUGGGAAAGUUUAUGGAGAAAAUGGAAGUUGAAACUGGAGUGGAUCACUAAGAAUUACAUACAUGCCCUGGUAGCUUUCUGUGUGUCUGGCCUGACACCCUAGUGUAGUGGUGGGGCACCUCCAGCCUGUGUGCCUAACCUUCCCCAUUGGCCCUUGAGACCAUUCUGGCCAAGCCACACACCCUUUAGAUCAUGUAUGACAUCAGAUGUAAUGACCUGGGUCAUCUGAAAGGGCACCUGCAAAGCCCUCUGCUGCACUCCACCCUGGGCUGUCAGAGUCAGGCUUUAGAUACUUCCAAUGAUCAUUGGACCCUGCGGAGCACCAUACCUAGCACUUCACAAGAGCCUAGGAUCAGCUGAUAGUUGGCACAGUAUGCCUUUGCCCACAAAGCUUAAUUUGGAAAAUGGGUCACCUGAUGCCACUGCAAUGUCAGAUGAAUUGACAGGUGGGCAUCCUGCAUGGGUUGGGACUGGGAACUGGAUCUGGCCUGCAGGCCAGGUCAUCUACUUGAACGUGAACUUAAGAGCAGCCCUGCUGGAUCAGCCAAUAGAAGUUCUAGUGAAGCAUCCUGUUCUCACAGUGGCCAACCAGAUGAAUGUGGGAAACCUGAACACAACAGCAUUUCCCCCUCCUUUCGUUUCCAGCAACUGACAUCCAGAGCCAUGCUGCGUCCAACCAAGGAGGCAAAGCAGAGUAAUCAUAUUACAGGCUGGACAUAGCUGGAGAGGAGCUCACUCAACCUUUUUGGGCCCUUUAUCAACAGCUCAGUAGAGAAGUGGCUGUGGUUGCAAGAGAGCUCCCUCUUAUGCUUGCUUGCUGCAUUACUGAUCAAAUACUUACCAGUGGGAAAGAGGAAGAAUUUCCUGUCGCAAUAUCUCCAAAUGGCUUGUCUUGUUUUGUUCAACUGGGGUUGGAGGGAGAGAGGUGUUCCUUAAAGGAGAGCUGGAAAUUAAGCUCAUAUAAUAAGGGUGGAGAAACCAUAGGUCAGAUCAAGCCCUGGAAACCUUUUGAAAAGGCCAGUCCCAGUCUUCUCCUUUUCAGUACUGGGCUGGGAUAAGAGAUUCCUCUGCUCCAGCAAGGCUUCUUGCUCUUGUAUCUUGCUGGGUAAUUCUGUCUUUAAUAAUACUUUACACCAGUUUCCCUGGGAAAGGCAUUAAGUUAACUUGUAACUUCUAGGAUCCAACCUGGUCCUAGAAGUUACAAAUUCCAGUGUGCAGGCAUGGAAACUUAUCUGAAGGAGAAGCUACAUAUUUUGAUUACAUGAUCAGCAAUUUCAUAUUUCCGUGAAAUAGGAAAGUUUAGUCAAGAGUCUUUGGUUAGGUGCUUUUUCAAAUAGUGAUUGUCUCUUCCACUGCAGCGCUGGACUGAGAAGAGAGGCUUCCUCUUAAGCCCAGUGCUGUGUUAGAAAUGAGUGUGAUGUGGCGUGUGUGUGUGUGUGUGUGUGUGUGUGAGAGAGAGAGAGAGAGAGAGAGAGAGCAAGAGCAAGAAAGAAAGAAAGGAAGGAAGGAAGGAAGGAAGGAGACUUUGUGUGCCAUACCAGCAUGUAUGGUGUGUAUAUGUGGGCCUGAAAAUGUGAGCGAAGGACCCAGUCUAGGCCUUCAACCUUGGCCACCACAGAUGAUGUUGGGACUACAACUCCCAUCAUCCCUGAGCAACAGCAAGAUAGAAGUAGGCUGCUUUAGAUAGAAGUAGGCUGCUUUAGGCUUUUUGCCUCCAGCCAGAGGAAUAAGGGCUGCUUUUGCUUUUUAAAAAACAUAAUUUGUCUCUGUUCGAAGCAUUUGAUUAAAAGGCAGAGUAGAAAUUAUCAAAAGGAAGAUGUAAAAUGUAUUAUGUGUGUCAUAUGCACGGUCCAGGCUGCCACGCCACACCUGGGAGCUGGGCAGGAUCAAUCCCCCUUUUGUCUCGGCUUUGAGCACCUACCUCCCCUAAAGGCAGUAUGCAAAUGCAUUCAAUGAGUGGAAAGGGAUCCUUGAAUAUCUUGUUGAAUGGGCAGCUCCCUGCUUAGAAGACUCAACAGCGCCUGAUGCAUCCUUGCAGGCUGCGGCACACAUGGGGUUAACAGGUAAGGAGACCAAAAUAGCUCUUUUGCCAGCAAGGGCAUUAAGAGAGGGGAGGCUGCUGACGCAGGCAAGUAUCACACCGUACCAUGACUGCGGGAAGCAGGGAUGCGCUGCCUCCAGCCAGCUCCUGCUGCUACGCCAAACAAAACACCGCCAGCACGAGCCAGCCUGGAGGAGCAUGGAUGCUGCUGGGCUCAGGUUUGGCUUUGUUUACAGUGCACACAGUCCUGGAGCACCUGCGAUGGAAGAAUGGGAAAUGAAAGAAUGGAGUCAGCUCUUUCUCUCUCCCCUCCUCCUGCAUGCCAAAGAGCCGACAUGAACUGAGUCAGUGGCUCAGCUCUUCCUGGGAAGGGAAGCCAGAAUUGGGGGGUUCAACCCUCCAGCUGCAGCAAUGGAGGAUUUAUUUAUGGAGGAAUAUAAUAAGGAUCUCCGUUAUGGCAGCACAGCCAAAGGUCAGGGAGGAUGGAAGUUGUAGUCUAACAUCUGGAGGGCACCACAUUGGUUACUCCUUAUGUAGACAGAACUGAGCUACAUGGACAAAUGCUCUAACUCAGGAGAAGGCAGCUUCCUAUGACGCUCCAACUGUCACAUAGGGAUCACCUCCAACACCAGCCUGUUGAUUACACUGUUGCUGAAAUUAGCUGAAACCAGGGGUUAGGGAGACCUGAAACCCUCAGCCUAAUUUGAUGGCGGUGGGGAACCCAGUCGGAGAUGGGCGAAGUAGGAGGGAAGAACGUCCUCUAUAAGCAAUCAGUUCAGCUGUCUGGCAAAAAAGGGAUCUCCCUCCCUGGGCAGUGAGAAAGAGGGGGACAGAAAAGGCCCUUUCCACACAGAAGGACUCAGGAUUUAAUCUCCAGCAUCCCCAAUGAGGUUUGGGAAGAUGGGGAAUAAAUUUGAUUAGCAUUUAAAGGCAAACCUACCUGAUUUACACUUUCCAACCCAAUGCAUAAAACACAGCCAUCUUUCGAAAUUCACACCUCUCCAAAUUUUGUAGUGCAGUUCUCCAUAAUGCAUGCAAUUUUUAUUUAUUAAUUUAUUAAAUUUGUCUAUUGCCCCAAAUGCAUGCAUUACUGAAAAUAAACACACACUGAUGCAUGAUAGUACUCAAAAUUGCAUUCAAGAAUGUAUAUCGGGAGAAACUUGCAGUAAAAUGAUGAAUUUUCACAAAGACUUUUUUUUAAAAAAAUUGCAAACUCAUUGGGAAAUGUGGAGAACUGAAAUUUAAGACUGGAGAAAUGAGAAACCGAGCAAAACCUAAAUCAACAGAUUUGCCCACUUCCCUAGGUGGGAGAGACCCCCGUCUGAAACCUCAGAGAGCACUGCCAGUCAGUGUAGACAACACUGAGCAAAAUGGGUGCUCUACCCUUUAGCUAUGGCCCUUCUCCCAAUCUUUUGUAAGCCACCUUGGAGAUGGAUUUUUUUUCCCCAAAGGGGUAUUUAAAUUGCUCAAAUAAAUAAAUAACUAAGCAAAUGAUAAGUAUAGUAUUGUUCCUCCGCCUGGCUCUCAGGUAUGUGAAGAUAAAAAGGGGAUAAUGGCACCUGCAUCUUGCCUGGAGCUCCUUGGAUGAAACACACACACACACAAAUCAGUGAAAACAAAAUGUGUAAUAUCACUCAUCUGUCAGAGGGCUCAUUUUCCUCUCCUUCAACUCUAGUUUUUCAGGCCAUGAUGCCCUCCUAUUCAGUUUGCUUUUGUAUACAAACAAACAGUCUUUUGCAAAAUCUGGAAAGAAACUGAAAAGCAAAUGUUAUUUGUUCUCAAUAUGCUUAACAAAAGGAUUUGUUAUCACUGACAACAGGUGUCGUAGCCUGGCUUACCCCCCUAGAAGCAGCAAGAAAUAGAAGCUGUUACAUUUCUCAUGGGUUUCAUGGGCUGGCUGCCAGACAUACAGAGAGAGAGGGAGGGAGGUUGGGAAAUUUAAGAGAAGUGUAGUUUUUAAAUAGGGAGAGGGAGGAGGGGUGGAACAGGAAGCAGCCAGUCAGUUAAUACAGUGGUACCUCGGGUUGCAAACACCUCGGGUUACAGACACUUCGGGUUACAGACUCCGCUAACCUGGAAGUAGUAUCUUGGGUUAAGAUCUUUACCUCAGGAUGAGAACAGAAAUCACGUGCUGGUGGCACGGCAGCAGUGGGAGGCCCCAUUAACUAAAGUAGUACCUCAGGUUAAGAAGAGUUUCAGGUUAAGAACGGACCUCCGGAACGAAUUAAGUUCGUAACCAGAGGUACCACUGUAUACAGGGAAGUCUGUUUCGUAAGAAAUGAAAAGAUGUCAGCUUCAGCAUUUACAGAAAAUGGAACUUGAAAGUGAAAGGCCUGACUUGGCUGUUGGAAGUUUUCUUCAUUCUUCAGCUGCUGUUAGGAAUACAAGAACAUAACAGGGGCCUGUUGGAUUAGCCCCGUGGGCCCAGCUAGUCCAGCAUCCUGUUCUCACAGUGGUCAACCAGUUAGCUAAGGGAAGUCCACAAGCGGAACCUGAACACAACAGCACUAUCCCCGCCUGUGGUUUCCAGCAACUGGUUUUCAGCAUUGCUGCCUCCAACUAUGGAGGCACAGCAUAGCCCUCAUGGCUAGAAGCCAAAGAUAGCCUUACUCUUCAUGAAUCUUGUUAUUCAUUCAGCCCUUAUUGGCAUAAUUGGACAACAGAACGUAUAAAAGCCAUCCGUAAAAUAUUGCUAAUCCCUACAUAUUAAAACACAAAACAUAAAAAAGACUCAAUAGCCACCAUUAAGUAAAAUUAGUAAUUUUAAAGUUGACUUUAAAAAUCUCGGCUAAAUAUCCUGAAACAAUCUCAGUAGUUUCAGGAACAUCAUUCCUCAACAGAUACUGGAUUCCACUCUGCCUUCUGCCUCUGUCCUACAUCGGAGGACAUUAGACAAUCUAAGAUGACUUUUUGAAUCCCCCUUCCCGCCUUUUAACAAUCUUAUGCAUUUUAUAUUCUGUAACUUCAUUUUAUUUGAAGUUGGUGGAGCAUAAAUAGAUUAUACUUGGUUUGUUUUGUGGUUAUCACAGGUUGUGGUUUAUUUAGAAAUGAAGACAAAUACAGUAUUGGCCUGAACCUUUUAAAUAAUUAUUUACAACUUUUUAAAAAUAUGUGGAAACCCAUCUCAACCUCCUGAUGUCUCUAGAAUAGAAUUAUUACUUGUUUAGUGUUUGAAACUGAUGGAAGGAAGGAGCUGCAGACAGAUGAAUGACAUCACCAGCAAAGGAUAACUGGGAAGAACUCAUGGGAAAGUAUUACCCUUUAAAAAAAAAUCAUUUAACCACCUUGCACUUUCUUCCAAAAUCAGGAUAUAAAUACAAAAAUUUGUGUUCCACUCCAAAAGGCAAGCAUUUUGCAGCUCUAGCGAUGCAAUCAGUUAGUGCACAGCACUUAGGAUGCAGUGUUUGGUGGCACAGCAGUACUGAGUUUAUGAGUUCAAGCUUACCUGAAGCAAGUGAUGGGGAAGUGCUGUCACUCAGUAGUAGAGCAUCUGCGUUGUAUGCUAAAGGUCCCGGGUUCAAUCUCUGCCAUUUUCAGGCAGGGCUGGCGAAGGAUCCAUGUCUGAAACCUCAAAGACCUGCUGCUGGUCAGUGUAGACAAUACUCAGAUAAGUACCGUAUUUUUUGCAUCAUAACACUCACUUUUUUCCUCCUAGAAAGUAAGGGGAAAUGUCUGUGCGUGUUAUGGAGCGAAUGCCUGCGGGUGGCGGGGGGGAUCUGCUGCAGUCAUGAGCAGAGGAUCCAUGGUUCCCCUUCCUUCCCUCCUCCGUGGUUACAAAGCAUGGAUCCACAUGGAUCCUCAGGAUUUUGUAUUGGGCUACUCCAAACUCACUGUCAGAUCACAUGUCUGUGGCCACAGCAUGAACCACAAAAAUCAUAUAUCCACUAUUUCAUUUAGAAUAUUUUUUUUCUUGUUUUCCUCCUCUAAAAACUACGUGCGUGUUAUGGUCUGGUGCGUGUUAUAGAGCGAAAAAUACGGUAGAUCAAUGGUCUGACUCUGACUCUCUCUCUCUCUCUCUCUCUCUGUGUGUGUGUGUGUGUGUGUAAGACUGCUUUCUAUUUUGCAUGGCUGAAUACUCUUCUGUAACAAUCCAAGUCCCUCCAAAUACAGUGGUACAUCAGGUUACAGACGCUUCAGGUUACAGACUCCGCUAACCCAGAAAUAGUACCUCGGGUUAAGAACUUUGCUUCAGGAUGAGAACCGAAAUUGCGUGGCAGCAGUGGGAGGUCCCAUUAGCUAAAGUGGUACCUCAGGUUAAGAACAGUUUCAGGUUAAGAACGGACCUCCAGAACGAAUUAAAUUCUUAACCCGAGGUACCACUGUAGAUCUGUUUUUGGAAGAUGUCAUGGCCUUUGGCUAGUGCAGUAAAAGUUUAUGAUGAUGACUAGAUCAUGAGGACUAAAAAUUUAAUUCAUUUUUUUAAGGGCAAGAGUCACAGUGCAGUGGAAGAACCCUUGUUCAGUUCAAGGUACCGCUGUGUAAGACUGGGAGUGUCUCCUCUCUGAAACUCUGGAGAGUCGCUUGUCAGUCAGCACAGACAAUACUGAACUAAAUGGACCAAUGGGUCUGACUCAAUAUAAGGCUUCCUGUGUUCCUAUAUUACUAAAGCACCAUAAGGCUGAAGAUGAAAAAUCAUCAUGUGCAGGCAAAGCUACACUUGCCUUGCUGCACACCCUGCAGUUGUUUUCCCAUCAGCCACAGCAUUUCUUCUGUGAUCCUGGCCCAAGGGGGCUCAGAGAUGUGGAAAGCCAGCGUGAGAUGGCUCCAUUUUACUGACAAUUUGUAACCAGACAUACACUCUCCUUUGGAUGGAAAUAGCAGCAUAGCACUUGCUGCAAGGAUAAUCUACAGGCUUCUUCAAGCUGCUGGUCAGGAAAGGAGAUUCCAGGAUGCCUGGUGCUGCCUCCAUAGUGACUCAUACUGCAGCAGCAGUAUUGAAGCUUAGCACCACAGUUUUGAAAUGCCCAUCGGAGAAACUCAAGGAACAGUCCCUGGAGCUGUGCAUGGUGGGCACCAGCUUAUCCAGAGUGAAGGGCCGCUGCCUCCCCAAAGAAUUCCAGGAAUCGCUAGAAUAUUUCAUUGUAUGCAGCACCAACCUUGAUACUUCAGCAUUGCUCCAUGCACCUGGUGCAACUGCACCUCCAACUGCAAGGAAGUAGUGUGUGCUUGUGCAGAUCAGUCCCAAGAUCUGAUGUGCUGCUGCUUGUUCACUCCAGUGGUAUUACCAAAGAGGGAUUCAGACAGAUGUCUCCCCCUCUAAUUGAGGACAGCCUACACUUCGGCGGGGGGGGGGGGGGCUAGAAACAACAUUAAAUUGGUCUUUACAUUUAAAGUGUUUUAGAAAAUGCAUGUGGAAGCCGCUCGUGCUCCUGACGAAAACUGCUCCUCUGAAGCUGUUUGCAGGCCAGCGUAGGGUAGUAAACACUAGGGUGGGGGCAAGGGCAACCAGG
This 17346-nucleotide long non-coding RNA is filed under the name Podarcis lilfordi (Lilford's wall lizard). The record is from RNAcentral. Lineage: Eukaryota; Metazoa; Chordata; Lepidosauria; Squamata; Lacertidae.